UUGUUAUGACUUUUAAUUCUUUCCCAUACGCGUGCAUUGACCGUGGAUCACCAUAGGCGCGCGCUUCUUGGCCUCUUGAUCUGCCAGCUCAAUUAAUGAGCUUAGAUCAGACGUUCCACGCUUUUUUGUAUUUUUAUUUUCUGAUUUUAUUUUCUUAAUUUCCAAUUAUCUUCAAAAAUUAAUAUCUCUCUCAUUUUUUAUCCAAAAAAUAUGGGACCAAAUGCAUUAUUUCCCAAAUAAUUUCUAGUUUCUAUUUCUGAUUUUUAAUAUUUUUUAUUUUG
This 281-nucleotide long non-coding RNA is filed under the name Lathyrus oleraceus (garden pea). RNAcentral describes it as "Pisum sativum (pea) long non-coding RNA (PSAT_LNC004068)". Lineage: Eukaryota; Viridiplantae; Streptophyta; Magnoliopsida; Fabales; Fabaceae. The record is from RNAcentral.